GAGGUUUUCCUGGUGGUUCCACGCGACGUGGAGGAGAGUGGGGCUUGGUUGAGCCCUGAGUGAUGGUCACUGUCACACGUGGGGACACACCAUGGCAACGCUCAGCGGGCCCAAGUGGCUUUAGUUGUGCACCGUAAAGGUGAUUAAAAGUCGUUUACAGCCGUUGUGUCUCCACUACAAGUCCUUGGGCACACGAGAGGCUCCAUGUGUGGGUUGUGAGGGCGAAGCGGUCCCAACCCCCCCCAAACUGAUGCCAAAAUCCCCCAAUCUGCCCCCAAAAUCUUGGUUCCAGGGAGUAAUAAAGAGCCUGGAGGAUAAGCGGAGGAGGACGGUCUGUCUGCGAUGGACUAAAAGGGGUUUAUGGGCGUUCGGGGGGGCUGGAGCCGAGUCCUUCCCCCCCAGAGUGGCCGCAGCCCCGCGGGAGGACGGGGGGAGACCGGGGAAGGGCUCUGCUGGGCAGGCUCCAAAGCGCGCACGCUGAUUGGUUCGUUCGCUGAAGACUCUCAGCCAAUGGCUGCGCGGCGUUUGGAUCCGGCUUUCCCACCCGAAGCGAAGAGGCGGGAAGACGGCAGCGGUGAGGAGCUAUCUCAGCCCUCCCUCGUGGUGGUUAGGAGUCGGCGAUUUCACCGGUGCGCCUCGGGUUCGAGUCCCCGUCGAGGAAAACGUUUUUUUUCCCCAGCUAUUUUUCCACCCCAGUUGUGGAGGAUUUUAAAACCGACAAAAUGAAGACAGGCGCUUUAACCAACUAAGCCACGGCGCCGCGCAUUGAGACGCCCGCCCUCGCCCCUCAUCUCCGCCGGCCAAACGCGUGUCCGCCCCUUCCCCGCUGUUCCAAGCCGCGCCUUCCCUCCUUGACACCGGGGAGGGACCGGGCACACCGAUAGCGGCAUCAGGAAAGGACCGGACGUACCGACAUUGACGCUGGGGAGGGACCAGACACACCGACACCAGCUCUGGGGAGCGGCAGCCGGGGCCAUCAGUUAGUCACUUCCUCGUUAGUAUAGUGGUGAGUAUCCCCGCCUGUCACGCGGGAGACCGGGGUUCGAUUCCCCGACGGGGAG
This is a long non-coding RNA of Strigops habroptila (Kakapo), 1061 nucleotides long. RefSeq lists it as uncharacterized. The record is from RefSeq and is a predicted model, not a curated record. NCBI's taxonomy places the organism in Eukaryota, Metazoa, Chordata, Aves, Psittaciformes, Psittacidae. The transcript is spliced from 2 exons.